RNAcentral lists this ribosomal RNA (327 nucleotides) under Dabulamanzia concolorata. RNAcentral's name for it is "partial 12S ribosomal RNA". Lineage: Eukaryota; Metazoa; Arthropoda; Insecta; Ephemeroptera; Baetidae. The record is from RNAcentral.
AUUAAACUGCCGUUAAAAUAGCCCUGAGUAGUACCUAUUAUCUUUAAACUCAAAGAAUUUGGCGGCACCCCUACCUCUUAGAGGAGCCUGCCCCAUAAUCGACGCCCCACGAUUCAAUAAACCUUCUUUUAAAGCUUGUAUACCGCCGUCUAGAUUAUACCAUAAGGUAUAUUCGUAAUUAUAUUAAUAAAUACCUCAGGUCAAGGUGCAGCUUAUGGGGAGGAGGGAGGUGGGCUACAUUAAUAUGGAUUAUACGGAUCUACGGUUGAAAACCGCCGUGAAGGUGGAUUUAAGAGUAAGAUUGUUGUUAAAUAAUCUGGCCGGGUU